This 465-nucleotide ribosomal RNA is filed under the name uncultured bacterium. RNAcentral describes it as "partial 16S ribosomal RNA". It matches the Rfam family "Bacterial small subunit ribosomal RNA", at positions 338 to 795 of the family's 1533-position model. The record is from RNAcentral.
CCUACGGGGCGCAGCAGUAGGGAAUCUUCCACAAUGGGCGAAAGCCUGAUGGAGCAACGCCGCGUGGGUGAAGAAGGUCUUCGGAUCGUAAAACCCUGUUGUUAGAGAAGAAAGUGCGUGAGAGUAACUGUUCACGUUUCGACGGUAUCUAACCAGAAAGCUACGGCUAACUACGUGCCAGCAGCCGCGGUAAUACGUAGGUGGCAAGCGUUAUCCGGAUUUAUUGGGCGUAAAGGGAACGCAGGCGGUCUUUUAAGUCUGAUGUGAAAGCCUUCGGCUUAACCGGAGUAGUGCAUUGGAAACUGGGAGACUGGAGUGCAGAAGAGGAGAGUGGAACUCGAUGUGUAGCGGUGAAAUGCGUAGAUAUAUGGAAGAACACCAGUGGCGAAAGCGGCUCUCUGGUCUGUAACUGACGCUGAGGUUCGAAAGCGUGGGUAGCAAACAGGAUUAGAUACCCCAGUAGUC